RNAcentral lists this unclassified non-coding RNA (346 nucleotides) under Hevea brasiliensis (rubber tree). Lineage: Eukaryota; Viridiplantae; Streptophyta; Magnoliopsida; Malpighiales; Euphorbiaceae. The record is from RNAcentral.
GUCCUGGAAAGAAUGUUCCAGAGAGCAUUCUUUUAAGUUAUGUUGGCAAGCAGAAUGUUCUGAAGGCAACAGUCGAAUCUGUUUUGAAGAGGACCCUUCCACAUGCCAUGUCUUCGGUGACUGGAAGGGCUUUGAGGGAUUCAGUCCGAAUUGCAACCAAAUUCUCUGAUAUGGAGAAGGAUUAUUCUUCUCACAACUCUCUCAGAUAUGAUGUUAUUGUUGAUGUGGCGCCUGAAGUCAAAUGGAUCCCUGAUAAUCGAUACAAAAAUUUGAAGAUUAUUGUUGAAUUAGACAGUGACAUAAAUGCAGAGGGAGCUUCUGAAAAAGAAUUAAGACGUCGUCAAAA